RNAcentral lists this unclassified non-coding RNA (2567 nucleotides) under Hevea brasiliensis (rubber tree). Lineage: Eukaryota; Viridiplantae; Streptophyta; Magnoliopsida; Malpighiales; Euphorbiaceae. The record is from RNAcentral.
CGUUGGUUAACACUACAUUCAGUACUAGCACAAAAAUUGUAGGCAAAAAAUCUAUAAUUCUUUAUCUUCUUGUUGUAUCUAUACAAAUUCACAAGAUCAAUCUCAUUUUAGCAGGGCUCCUUUGAAUACAGGUAUGGUAUGUAGAAGUUUUAUAGCGAAUUAACAACCUAUAUACUCAAGGGAAAUGUUUGCUUUUAGGCAUAUCCCCAUACUGUGCAUUUGUAACAAGUCUAUUCAGAUGGUCAGAUUCUCUUGAAUGGCAAGAAAUGAACCCACUAUAUUUCCACCCACAUCAGGGAAAGUUUCACAUCCAGGAAUAGGCUUCACUUUACCUUUCCUAUCGACUUCAACUGGGUAUUUUAGUAGGUGCCCUCUCAUCUCUGUAACCUCAUCAGCUCUAUAUUGUCUCCAGUUCAUCUCCCCCAGUGUCCUAAUUCUUCUAACACAUUCAAGACUCUCUGGUUGUGUGAAGCAGUCCUCAAUAGCUCCAACAUGCUCUGCCCAUAGUGACAUCCUAUAUCCAUAUAUCUGUCCAUGUGGAUUAGAAUGUUUUCUUGCCCAGGUAUGAUUAGGCUGAUAUGCUCCCAUUGCAAUUUCAGUGUCUCUUGUGCCCUCCAAUGAACGCUGGUUUAUGUUUGCAGAUCCCAAUAUUACAUACUCAUCAUCCACUAUCAUCCCUUUUGAAUGGACAUAAAUCAUGAAUCGCCGGCUUUUUUGACUGAGUGCCUGGUAAUGUAAACAUUAUAGCAGUCAUUCGCAAGUAUGCAGUGAAAAGAGGAGAGAGCAACAAUUGAUAUAUAUAUAUUCGAUGGUUUUUGUAUGAGCCAAUGAUUCAAUCUCACACAGAAGCAAAUAGGUACCAAAAAUGCAUCCACACUUGAAAAUCAAUUCAUCUAUAAGAAAGAAGCAUCCAAGUGUGAAGUUUUCACUACAUAUUCUCAUGCUUAGAGGAACCCUCCUUGGACUGGGAUGUUUCUCACGUUGGCAGAGCAAGAGCUCCCAAAAUCAUGGUCGAAAGAAAAAAUGUCAGUUUCAGGAAUUAACAUACCUGAGGAGUGUUUGCAGCAGUGGAACUGCUCGAAGUGUCAUUCGUGUCUGUGAACUCACGAUUACCAAGACAGAAGAAGUUCAAAUAAUCCUGAGGUGAGAACACAUUCUCAAGUCCAACCUCCUCUAAAGCCUUCAAAAUUGUCUCAUACAUCAUUUGCAUAGUUUUAUGCUGCCAAAAUAGAAUCCUUUGUGUAGCAGCACCUGUUGGAACACCCUCUGGCCACAUUGGAAUAAUAAUAUAGGCGGCGAAUCUCUCAUUUGCUCUGAUUUUAUCAGCAAUCUUCAGAGCAAUUUCCAUUGGAAUUAAAUUAUUAGCACCUAAAUCUUUAUAUGAACUCCAGUUGAAUGAGGAGCCAAUGAAAUAUUGGUUCUCUAUAUAAAUAAAAUGCUGGGCAGCACGAAUGGCCUUCACAUAGGCUGUAUGUAUGCUCAUGUCAAUAAGGACAUUCUUCCCACACACCAGGUUCUUGCUUGUGGCAUCUUUGGGAUCCUUUGGGAAGCGUUUAACAGAAUUUGAAUCUAUUGAACGAAAAAUCUGAAUAUGCCAAGCUUCAGGAUCAUUCUCACCAACAGAAGGAGCAUCAAAAACUCCUACAAUAUCUGGAAUUCUUUCAAUCCUGAGCAGAGCAUCAUCGUAUGACAUUUUUAGUUUUUUAAUCCCAUGAGGCUUUGCAGCCUUGAACCAGCGCUCCUCAAAGUUGGCUAGAACGUCAUAUGCUGCUGGACCAUCAAUUCUACAGUGCAAAUCAUGCCAUGGCUCCCUAGGGCAACCAGAAACAUUAUUACCUGUGAAAGUGGGGUUGUGAUAGUCGUCCUUAUGCACUGUUUGCAGUGUCCUAAAUAAAGGGUGAUGCGGAGUAUCAUAUCUUCCAUCACAUAAAUCAAGUCCACCAACAAAAGCUAUGAUUUUUCUUCUGUUAUUGCCUGCAUCAGCAUCUACAAUCACAGUUUUCUGAUGGUGCGUAUAUAUGGUUCCAACUUCCCUUUGCUUGACCCAGCUAUGUCUUUUUCCAGCAAUGCGAGGACAGAGAAGCACUUGCACUGAUGAGUUUUUGAAAAAACUGCGCGUUUCCUCAUCAUGGGUUGCCAUGAUUCCAUCUGUUUUAUAUCCAAAGAUACUCCUUGAAGUAGGGUCAUCCCAGACAAGAAGCAGCACUCUUACUCCUUCCUGGGACUUGGACCUCAGCAGAUCCCCCAAUGUGAUAUUUGAUGGAUCACCAGCAUCUCGAAUCAGUUUAACAUUGUGCCAUACUGACCACCCUGUAAUGUAAAUUAAACGCCUGGCAUGUCGUAUCGCAUCAAAGAUGUCACGCCAACAUUUCCCAUGCACAUAAGACAACCCAUGAUCAAGUUUCAAACUUGGCAGACACCCAUCUGGAACAUGGGCAUCUUGAUAAAGAGUCACAGUUCCACCUUUCCUAAGAGGAAAAUAUGUGCCUGGUACUCCUUGAUAAUCAGGACCUGCACCCACGCCUUGAUGGUAAAUGCUCAGUUUCUCCAUCGGGGUGUAUUGAAUU